This 1644-nucleotide long non-coding RNA is filed under the name Citrus maxima (pomelo). RNAcentral's name for it is "long non-coding RNA (CMAX_LNC002316)". Lineage: Eukaryota; Viridiplantae; Streptophyta; Magnoliopsida; Sapindales; Rutaceae. The record is from RNAcentral.
UUAAUUCUUAUCUUAGCUAGCUUGUUAUUGCUUGUUUUCUUAUUCAUUGUUUUGAAUUUUAGGCCCCCCUUAUCUUUUUAUAAUCUUCUCUGGCAUAUGUGUAUAUAUAUGUUAAGAUUAAAUUAUUUAUAUUUUUAUUCAAUAAUUACCUUUUGGGUUUGAUUUUAUUGUAGGGUGAACUAAAUCUGCAGUCUGCACGGGCGGGGGUAUCUGGUUUAUUGAUAAGUCACGAAUGAAGUCUACAAAGAGAAUAAGGCUGCUACUUUUGGCUUAUUGUCCUAAAAAUAUCUUCUAUUACUCUAAAAUAAAGCCUGAGAUAUUUUAUUGGCAUUUUGCAUUUUACAUUAUUAUACAAGUCAUUCUAAUUAUAUGUGUUGCAAUGUAAACAUAUAUGAUAUUUACGUGUGCAAAGUGAAUGUCCUUUCUUUAUUCUUAUGGGUAAAUUAAAAUCUUGAUUGAAUAAUUUGUUUUCUUAAUCUUGAUUUAGGUCAACAUAUAAAAUUAUAAACAUACAAAAUUAUGAGUCAAUUACUUAAUAGUUAACAUUACUUAAUUAAUAAAUUUUUCUUGGUUAUAAUAAUAUUAUUUUAUUAGUGUUCUAUUGUAUUGUGUUCUGUAUAAGAUUAGGAUAGGAUUUGAAUUAAUAACGAAAAAAUGAAUGAAAUAAUCCUAAUUAAUAAUAUCAUGAUUUUUAAAAAGAAUAAUGUCAGGGAUCCCAACAAUUGAGUUGAUAUAUUAUUCAUCUAGUGAAUGGUAGAAUAUUAUUUUAGACUUAAAUAUAAAAAUUUCAAUCAUUAUUGUUUUAACAAUAAUUUCAUAUGUAUAAAUUAUUCAUAUGAAAUUACAUUUAACAAUAUGAAUAGAGUUGUAUAAAUUUAAAUUGAAUAAAAUUAUUAGAGUGAAAAUAAAUGAGUAUAUAUGAUGUGAGAAAUGGGAGAAUGAUAUUAAAUUCACAUUCAUCUUUAUUAAAAUAGAAAAAAAAAAUUGAAGCUGUCUUUAAUUUCUCUCAUCGCUUAAUGAGUAGCUACGAUUGAGUUUUGUAUUUUGAUGUCAAUAAUUAAGUCAGCCAUUUUUCACUAUAUUAUAAUGAUAAUGAGAGGAAAGGAAAGAAAAAAACAAAAAGAGGAUCAUAAUUCUUAAUUAAAACCCGACAAAGAUAAGAGAAAGAUUAUUCUCAUUUAGAGAAAGACAUGUACUAUGGUGAAUGGUCUCCAAAUUAGAGAACCACAAAGGAGAGGUUGUCAGGAUAAGGUUUAUAAAAGGACAAGCUGAAACUGUCGCAAAUGAAAGAGAACAAGGCUGCUGCUUUUGUUUUAGGAUUUUGCUAUGUUACAUUGAAUGUACCAUACACAACUAAUAAGAACCACACAAUUAUGUGGGUCCCACAAUUUAUGUGGUUCUUAUUGGUUGUGUAUGGUACAUUUAAUGUAACAUAGAGGCUCCCUUUGUUUUAUUGUCCUAAAAAUAUCUUCUAUUACUCUAAAAUAAAGCCUGAGAUAUUUUAUUGGCAUUUUGCAUUUUACAUUAUUAUACAAGUCAUUCUAAUAAAAUGAACUUUUGUUAUGUGUUGCAAUGUAAACAUAUAUGAUAUUUACGUGUGCAAAGUGAAUGUCCUUUCUUUAUUCUUUUGUACCUACAAUAUAA